This 328-nucleotide ribosomal RNA is filed under the name uncultured eukaryote. RNAcentral's name for it is "partial 18S ribosomal RNA". It matches the Rfam family "Eukaryotic small subunit ribosomal RNA", at positions 1470 to 1796 of the family's 1831-position model. The record is from RNAcentral.
CCCUUAGAUGUUCUGGGCCGCACGCGCGCUACACUGUUCGACGCAGCGAGUCUUAACCUUGACCGAAAGGUUUGGGUAAUCUUCAGCAAAGUCGAACGUGAUGGGGAUCGAUCAUUGCAAUUAUUAAUCUUGAACGAGGAAUUCCUAGUAAGCGCAAGUCAACAGCUUGCGUUGAUUACGUCCCUGCCCUUUGUACACACCGCCCGUCGCUACUACUGAUUGGAUGUUUAAGCGAGGUUCUCGAACUGCUAGCGACUUAGCUUCGGUGAGGUCGCAGUGUGGGAAGUGAACCUAGCUUUGGUGUCUAGAGGAAGUAAAAGUCGUAACA